This 4085-nucleotide long non-coding RNA is filed under the name Homo sapiens (human). RNAcentral describes it as "SOX2 overlapping transcript". The stretch from base 386 to 661 matches the Rfam family "SOX2 overlapping transcript exon 3". The record is from RNAcentral. Lineage: Eukaryota; Metazoa; Chordata; Mammalia; Primates; Hominidae.
AUACAAGAGAGAACAAAAUGGUUAUUCAGGGGAACGCUUUCGAUUUUUAUUGUGGGUAGCCUGCACAAAGAGCCGUGUUAUUGUAUUUAAAAGAACCAUCUGUAGCAGAAACAAUGGCAUCAAAUUAUCUUUGAAUACCCACUGAAAAAACAUAAAGCUUUUUUUUUUAUUCUUCUUCUGUACGGUGGGGGGAUAGAGCAGUGUUAGGAUAACUGACUUUUUUGUUGUUCUCUGGGUGCAUUCUUCUCGCUCCCCCUCUCUCUCCCCCUCACCCUCUCUCUCUUCUCUCUCUCCCUCUCCCUCUCUCUCUCUCUCUCUCUUUUAAAAAAUCAGCCAUUUGGGGUUUUAAGCCAUAAACGAUUUUUCUUGUUGCAGGGGAUUGCAGUGGCAAAGCUAGGCUAGGUCUUGGAGGCUGGUGUAAGGCGAUGUGGGUGAAGGCAGGAGGCUGAUGGAAAGACUGGGGGGAAGAAAAGCCGAAAUGGAUUCACGGUGCCUUGGAUGAAGGACGAGAGGGGAACUGCAAGCUCCUUCAACUGGUUCUGUCCGGUGAGAAGUGAUCAAGCUUGGGCUGACAAGAGGCUCAGGGAGCCCUCACGUUCUUUCGCUUUUUUACCUGCCAAUCAAACUGCUACAAGACAACACCCUGAUCUGGCAUGGACAUCGCGGGUCCAAGCCUGUAGCCCCAAAUCGGAUAAUCUCUGCAGCUGAUAACAAGCAAAAGAGAAGCCAGGCAACAGCCAUAUUAAAGAAGAAAACAAUCAACUCUGAGAUCCAACUUAGAAAUAAUGUUUCAUUCAAGAUAAGGCUCGUGGCUUAGGAGAUUGUGACCUGGCUUGCAUCAUUCUAAGACUUCUAUCGUCUGUUUUCAAAACCCAAGGAGGACCUCCUUUUCUGUGUGAUAGUUCCUCAUGCUUUGCCAGCCACUGGGUCUUUAAGGAAGCUUGCCAAGAGUUCCCGGCUGGGAAGGACAGUUCGAGUUCAUCAUAGACAAUGAGCUGGCACCACAGUUUAAGUGACUCACCAACCUGGUUGCCCACUUCAAAAUGUCAAGAACCACACUAUCUAAUUGAAAGAACUGUGUUUUAGCAAAGUGUAAUUGGAUCGCCUGGCAAGAUCAUCUCAAACUAUGUCUCUGACCUUGCCUUUCAGUGGCUAUUUUGAGCACAAGAGGAGAAAGGAAAUGAUUCCUGAAUUAUAUCUUGUUUUUAAAAAUUAAGAUUAAUUAAUACUUGGUUUUAUGUUCAUUCCAUUGUAGGAACUUAGUGAUUAUUACAAAACAGUCAAAAUAGGUCAUAGCAAAAUGAACGUUUAAGAUUAGGUUAAAACAUUCCUCUGAAAUUUUAGUAUUCACUUUUGAAGUGUCAAUUACUAUAUUUCUGUAAUUUCUCAUUUUUUUCUUGGCUUAGAGUCAAGAUGAAAAAUGAUAUUUGAAUCAAAGACAUUGUUUUGUUAUAUAGCCACUCCUUUCUAAAAUGCAAAUCCACCCUCCCCUCACCAAUGCUUUAUUCUUUGUGCGCGCACACACACACACACACACACACACACACACACACACACACAGACAUACACAGAACCAGCACCCAAAUGGUAGAGGAGGUCCUUCCAAGACUUCUAGGACCUGGAUCAUGUAAGCAGUAGAUGAGAAAAUGAAGUAAGAGAUAUAGAGUAAUAACAAUAAAAGUCAAUGAUUUCAUUUUACAAAAAAGUCAUUGUGUAGUACUCAGAUAUUUUUAAGAGCAAGUAUUAUUAUGACUAAAGUAUAUUAUACUUCUAAAUUAUUAUGAUUCUCAUCUAAUUUCAAGCCACACAUAGGCGCCAUUUGAAAGCAUUUUGUGUUACAACCUAUCAACAAAAAUCAACUAAUAGUUUUAUAACGUGCAUAGGUUUACCCCAUGGGGAAUUAAAAUUUUUAUCUGCAAGUAUUUCUGUUGUUGUGAGACUUUAGGACAAGACAACAUUUGGUGUUAACAUAGAAGAAUAUUCUAUGGCUUUUUUAGCUUUAAAGUUCAUUACUCUAAAAUAAAGUACACGUGGUAUUUUUUUCUUCCUAGUGUUCUCUUAUUAUAUGUAGAGUAUUUUCGGUUGUUGUUUUUAACGUAUACAUUAUUUUUAUUAAGUCAUUUCAUAAAAGAUAAGAUAUAUACUAAUAGACCCUUGGUUUUCUCCUAAUUUAAUUAUUUCAAGUCAAGCAAAAUUGGGCAAUUUUCUUUCAGGAAAAAAAAAAUAUUGAGCAUGAUUUUGAGGUAAAACUGAUUAUUUACAGCAUCUUUUCUCUAAUAGGCUAACAUUUAUGAUGGAUCUUAUUUCAAAGUUGAUUAUUCUCAAAGAAAAGUGGAGAUAUUAGAAUUUCCGAGUAAAUUGCAUUGUUUUAAAAAGUACUUUAAUGCAUUGUUCACAUUGUUGCCAGCUAUUGACCAAAAAAGAGAAGAAGAAAAAAGAAAUAAAAAAAGCAGUAUCUGCUCCAAACGUCAAGUUUUGCAGUUUGAAAGACUUGUACAUUAUAAUUGUUUUUUUCUUUUUUGGAAAGCAGUAGUAAUUAAUACCAAAGGCAUAGACAAUUUAGGGCCAUAACCUCCCUUCCCCCCUCUCCACCUUUUUUUUUUUUUUUUUUUUUUUUUAACUUUAACCAUGAUAGGCAUCUCUGCAAGGUAGGUUUUAACAUAUUUUUUUCCUAAUUUUUUUCCCUCCAUUCAGUAAGAAGGAUAAGCUUUUAGAGUACCCAGUCACCGUGGUAACUGCCAAAAAAAUUCUCCUGAAGUUUGAAGAGGUCAGCUAGCAGGGUCAACAACCCUGGCCUCUCUCUGAGCUCGGUCUAGCAUGCCCCAGCCUGCGGUUGGAGUGUCAGGCCAGAUCUGACCCUGGGAGGUGGACCAUUCUGGCUCUGAUAUAAAUUUUUCGAGUCAGUUCAUGGCCUGGACUCUCCAGGUGGCCUCCAAAAUCGAUUUUGACCCCCUGACCCUGUCUCACGGAGGCAUAGCAUCCACCCUAAGUAAGGAUUUAGCCAGGAAUGACAGCUUUCCACUGAGUGUUAUUGGGGACAGUAUAAACAGUUUGGAAAGCAAGUAAGGAGGUGUGAGGGCUAGCAAUCAUUAAAAGCACAUUAAAAAACAAUUUUUAAAAAUCUUUAUUAGAGAAAGUUGUAAAUGCAUAUCUGUUACAGAAUUCCUGUGAUUUGUAGAGUUUUCUAGUCAGUUUUGAAUAUAAAUAGGUCACAUAUCUUUAUCUUUUUGCAUACUUUGUUACAAAUAUGCAAAUAAGAUAGGCAUACUUGCUACAAAAUAGGUACAGCAGGAAUGUAAUAUGUUCAGAAAAGGCAAACUGGUUAUUAAAACACAUUAACAGGUAAGGAGUUUCUAAUAUUUUAAAUACUAAAAUUUUACAUGUGUAUUUUGAAGUUUUUAAAAUGGAAAAAUAAAGAACCUUUAAAAAACCCAACAGUGUGGAAUAAAGAUAAACUUGUUGCACUCAAGGUACAUUUCUACUUUGUAAAGCAAGAAGCCAAUACACUCAGUUGGAUAAAAAUGAGAGAAAAAUUGUAAAUAUAGAGAGUUACAGCUUAUAGAGCUGAAGAGGAAUAAAACAAAAAAAAGUGUCUCUGAAUAACUUUAUGUAUUUUCAACAGUUUAAGAUAUCAGAAACUUGGAAAAUAAAUAUGAUAUAUAUAUAAAUCAUCAGUGAUUAUUUCCUUUUCAUUCCCCCCCGCCCCCAGGAUGCCACCGUGAGUGUUUGAUUUUCUCUAGGAAAGUAGAAUUCUCUUUGAGAGUUCUAGCCUGUGAACUCAGUAUGUAAAUGUGGCCAUCAAGAAGACAGAACUGCCAAGAGGAAAGAUUAUGAAUGUUUUUCUUCCUUAAAACCAUUCACAGUGUUUCUUCUUCCAGUGCUUUACUCAGACUUCUCCCCUUUUCCCAGCUCUGUUGAAAAUGGCUUCAAAAGCAACACUGCAGUGGCUAAACCAAUUGUACUGUGAAGUUGUUGAGAUGCCAUUUCAUCUGAAUCCUUCGUAAAAAUUAGAUUUUUAAGUAGGGGUGAAUAUCCUUUUGGGAGAGGGAAUGGGAGGGUAGAAGAAGGGGGGAAAGGACAGAGCA